Molecule: non-coding RNA, 22 nt
Filed under: Mus musculus (house mouse)
Lineage: Eukaryota; Metazoa; Chordata; Mammalia; Rodentia; Muridae
Source: RNAcentral
UCACAUUCAGAAGUACUGUGGG